Myodes glareolus (Bank vole) is the source of this 1643-nucleotide non-coding RNA. NCBI's taxonomy places the organism in Eukaryota, Metazoa, Chordata, Mammalia, Rodentia, Cricetidae. The record is from RefSeq and is a predicted model, not a curated record.
CUCUGGAAGAGACACGAAGGCUGUCAGUGACUGGGUGGGAUAGGGACUGCCCAGAACUUGGGGAUAGUAAAUACAGCCAGUACCUCGAUUUUGGGUUAGCUGUCGGGGACUGAGCACAGGCAGGGAGCGUUGGCAGGGCUGUGGUUCAGCCAGAUCUGGUAGGUUGGUGAGUAGGUGGCAGCCAUAUGGGGGAAGAGAAAGGAAAGUGGAUGGUGGGGUGGCGUCCCGGCCACUUUCAUCUCAACACCUCUGCACGCCUCACCAUGCCCAGCACCCCCACUGCUGAGGCCGGCCUACUCAGCUGCAACCCUCCUGCAAGCUCCUCCUUUCUCUCCUGCACGGACCCAGGAUGACAGACCCAGGAUGACGUGCACACUCUUAGGAGCCAGGGCGGACCCACAGGACGCAACCAAGGUUUCUCUGACUCCGAGUGCUACCCCCACCCACGGAGGGCCAAGCUGACAGAGCAGGCCAUGCAAAGCAGAGGGCCUGGGCAUGGCUUCCUGUGGGCACACCUGCACAAGGAAGGCUAGUCAGUGCCAAAGGUGGGUUGACAAUGACCAGAUCCUAACGUCAACAGUUGGUGAUAUCAGAAAACUGGGGACUCCUAUGCCCAGAGGACUUGAGAGCAGAGUUCUGGCCUCAGACUGGCUAAUCAGAGAAAGCCAGUUGUGCAGGACUGGGCAGCUAGCACCCUCUGCUGGCCAUUAGUGGAAACUAUAUGUUUUGACUUCUCUUCCUUACAACCUGAAGAAUAGAGAUGACAGGGGCCUGGCAUGCAGGCUGUGGUGAGGUAAGGAUGUGGUGCUCUCUAGCGGGUGAAGGGCAGCACGGAACGUGCUUAAUCAGGGGAGAUACCAAGACUAGACUUGCAUUUCUAGGAGAUUCUUUCGGCUGCUGAGCACAGGCAGGGUAGUAGGGGUAGGGGUGGGAAGUAGGAAUGGAAGUUGGAGAGGUGCCAGCAUAUCCAUGAGAGUAGCGAAGGGGAAGGAACAGUAACUUGGAGCUGUGUAUACAGGCUGGCUUUGGGAGAAAAACCUGAGUUCAAGGUCUGGAGUGGAAGGCACAUGCCUGAGUGGCCUGAGAGUAUAAAAAUUGAACUCCAGGGUUUCCUCAAACACUGGCCAAGGGCCAGCUCCCAGUCAAAUGAUAGUGUAGCAAAAAUGCCCUGUACUACUGGCACCAGGAGGCACAAGACACUGGCUCACCCUCCCUCCAUACCCAUACUCCUUACCUUACCAGGGUCCAGUCUGUGAGCUGCCGGCCUCCUGCUAUCCUCUCGGGAGUCACUACUAGGAAGUCUACUGCACAGUCUCCCAGCCAAGGUGGCAGCUGAAAGAGCAGGGGCAAGUGUCAGGAGGGUCUGGAGGAUGUGAGCUCAAGGAAAGGAUCAGAGGCCUGAACCUUGACAGAGAGACACGGAGCUGUCUGUGUAGAAUCUCUGAGCAAACAUCGAUAUGUAUACAACUGUGGACACAGGUACUAAUGCCACAUGCUACCCAUACUGCAUGGCCACAGUUGGCACUUGGUUCAUACCCAUAGGUAUUCUGUGCAUUCCAGUGCUCACGGGCAUCAGACAUACCUGCCUCCACACGAGCUGACCCCUGGCACCACCUGCACUUGCAAACCCAGCCCCCUCUGCC